UCAGGCCUAACACAUGCAAGUCGAACGGUAACAGGUCCAGCAAUGGAUGCUGACGAGUGGCGCACGGGUGCGUAACACGUAUGCAACCCACCUUUAACUGGAGGAUAGCCCCGAGAAAUCGGGAUUAAUACUCCAUAACAUUAUGAUGGGGCAUCUCAUUAUAAUUAAAGCUCCGGCGGUUUUAGAUGGGCAUGCGCGACAUUAGCUAGUUGGUGAGGUAACGGCUCACCAAGGCUACGAUGUCUAGGGGUUCUGAGAGGAUUAACCCCCACACUGGUACUGAGACACGGACCAGACUCCUACGGGAGGCAGCAGUAAGGAAUAUUGGUCAAUGGACGCAAGUCUGAACAGGCCAUGCCGCGUGAAGGAUGACGGCCCUAGUGGUUUAAAGUUCUUUUGUACGGGAAAAAACCUCCGGUCGGAAUCGGAG
Molecule: ribosomal RNA, 430 nt
Filed under: uncultured bacterium
Lineage: Bacteria
Description: bacterial SSU rRNA
Rfam family: Bacterial small subunit ribosomal RNA
Source: RNAcentral